This 770-nucleotide long non-coding RNA is filed under the name Cyanistes caeruleus (blue tit). RNAcentral's name for it is "lncRNA (ENSCCEG00000006860.1)". Lineage: Eukaryota; Metazoa; Chordata; Aves; Passeriformes; Paridae. The record is from RNAcentral.
CCAUUUAAACACACAUAGACUACGCUCAAAUGUAACAUAUCCAGCAAAACUAGGAUGGUGUUUAUCUUCCCAAAUUUUAGAAGUCUGUAUUGGAGCAUGUACUGCAGAGUUGGUUACUGAAGAUGCUCUUUAAAGUAUGUGAGAGAUUUUUUGGAUUAUGUUCACAGGAGUGUUUAUGUUGUUUAACAGAAGAUGAAUAACCCUUUGAAAUCUCUGUUUCUCUCCAUCAGCCAGAAAAGCAGCCAAAGGUGACUGUCUCAGACAGUUCAACCCAUUGGAACAUUUUGCAUUGAUUCAUUAAAGGUUCUUUCCCAGUAUCUUUUUCCAAAGUUUCAACUAUGAUUUCUCCUUGUCAUUGGUAUCCAAACUUCACACACUGAAUGAGCCAGAUUCAAUAGGCCUUCAGAAAAGGACUUGAUCUCAGCAGCGUUUCCAGGAAUAAUCCCUAAAUCGUUAACUUUGAAAAGAAGAAAGCUCGACAAGAAUUAGGUGAUCAAAUGCAGCAGCAUUCCACUGAGGAAAAGGACAGAGCAGCACAGUGUUUGGUGGGAGCUGGGCUCCCCUGUAAGGCAGCAGAAUGACUCAACUGAUCUAAAAGUGCACUCAAGAGAGCUCAAAUUCCACUGACAGAAAAUCAACAGCGAUUGAAAGAUGCAAUCCCUACCUCCCAAGUGUGACUUUGAGGUGUUGGACUGGAGCAUAGGAACAUACUUUUUAUAAUCUGGAGGUGGUUUGUUUGAAAAGAGCUCAUUUCCUUGGAAGGGUAAUUA